This is a small nucleolar RNA of Eleginops maclovinus (Patagonian blennie), 82 nucleotides long. RefSeq annotates it as small nucleolar RNA SNORD53/SNORD92. The record is from RefSeq and is a predicted model, not a curated record. NCBI's taxonomy places the organism in Eukaryota, Metazoa, Chordata, Actinopteri, Perciformes, Eleginopidae. The transcript has a single exon.
GAGGAGUGAUGAUGAUGAGAACGGUUUCGCUAAAACAGCUGAUAUCAUGUGAUGUCACAACUUCUCUUGGCUGUCUGACCAA